CAUCCUCCAAGGCUAAAUACUCCUGACUGACCGAUAGUGAACCAGUACCGUGAGGGAAAGGCGAAAAGAACCCCGGCGAGGGGAGUGAAAAAGAACCUGAAACCGUGUACGUACAAGCAGUGGGAGCCUCUUUAUGGGGUGACUGCGUACCUUUUGUAUAAUGGGUCAGCGACUUAUAUUCUGUAGCAAGGUUAACCGUAUAGGGGAGCCGAAGGGAAACCGAGUCUUAACUGGGCGUUAAGUUGCAGGGUAUAGACCCGAAACC
This 265-nucleotide ribosomal RNA is filed under the name Citrobacter freundii. RNAcentral's name for it is "partial 23S ribosomal RNA". It matches the Rfam family "Bacterial large subunit ribosomal RNA", at positions 454 to 722 of the family's 2925-position model. The record is from RNAcentral. Lineage: Bacteria; Pseudomonadati; Pseudomonadota; Gammaproteobacteria; Enterobacterales; Enterobacteriaceae. RNAcentral also lists the same sequence under 3 other names.